GUGGGGAAUAUUGGACAAUGGGCGCAAGCCUGAUCCAGCCAUGCCGCGUGAGUGAUGAAGGCCCUAGGGUUGUAAAGCUCUUUCACCGAUGAAGAUAAUGACGGUAGUCGGAGAAGAAGCCCCGGCUAACUUCGUGCCAGCAGCCGCGGUCAUACGAAGGGGGCUAGCGUUGUUCUGAAUUACUGGGCGUCACGCGCACGUAUGCGGAUAUUUAAGUCAGGGGUGAAAUCCCGGGGCUCAACCCCGGAACUGCCUUUGAUACUGGGUAUCUCGAGUAUGGAAGAGGUGAGUGGAAUUCCGAGUGUAGAGGUGAAAUUCGUAGAUAUUCGGAGGAACACCAGUGGCGAAGGCGGCUCACUGGUCCAUGACUGACGCUGAGGUGCGAAAGCGUGGGGAGCAAACAGGAGUAGAUACCCCGGUAGGCC
This 425-nucleotide ribosomal RNA is filed under the name uncultured bacterium. RNAcentral describes it as "partial 16S ribosomal RNA". It matches the Rfam family "Bacterial small subunit ribosomal RNA", at positions 354 to 796 of the family's 1533-position model. The record is from RNAcentral.